Molecule: ribosomal RNA, 467 nt
Filed under: uncultured bacterium
Lineage: Bacteria
Description: partial 16S ribosomal RNA
Rfam family: Bacterial small subunit ribosomal RNA
Source: RNAcentral
GACGAACGCUGGCGGCGUGCUUAACACAUGCAAGUCGAACGGAAAGGCCCUGCUUUUGUGGGGUGCUCGAGUGGCGAACGGGUGAGUAACACGUGAGUAACCUGCCCUUGACUUUGGGAUAACUUCAGGAAACUGGGGCUAAUACCGGAUAGGAGCUCCUGCUGCAUGGUGGGGGUUAGAAAGUUUCGGCGGUUGGGGAUGGACUCGCGGCUUAUCAGCUUGUUGGUGGGGUAGUGGCUUACCAAGGCUUUGACGGGUAGCCGGCCUGAGAGGGUGACCGGCCACAUUGGGACUGAGAUACGGCCCAGACUCCUACGGGAGGCAGCAGUAAGGAAUAUUGCACAAUGGGCGGAAGCCUGAUGCAGCAACGCCGCGUGCGGGAUGACGGCCUUCGGGUUGUAAACCGCUUUCGCCUGUGACGAAGCGUGAGUGACGGUAAUGGGUAAAGAAGCACCGGCUAACUACGU